GUGGGGAAUUUUGGACAAUGGGCGCAAGCCUGAUCCAGCAAUGCCGCGUGCAGGAAGAAGGCCUUCGGGUUGUAAACUGCUUUUGUACGGAACGAAAAGGCUCUGGUUAAUACCUGGGGCUCAUGACGGUACCGUAAGAAUAAGCACCGGCUAACUACGUGCCAGCAGCCGCGGUAAUACGUAGGGUGCGAGCGUUAAUCGGAAUUACUGGGCGUAAAGCGUGCGCAGGCGGUGCUGUAAGACAGGCGUGAAAUCCCCGGGCUCAACCUGGGAAUUGCGCUUGUGACUGCAGUGCUGGAGUGCGGCAGAGGGGGAUGGAAUUCCGCGUGUAGCAGUGAAAUGCGUAGAUAUGCGGAGGAACACCGAUGGCGAAGGCAAUCCCCUGGGCCUGCACUGACGCUCAUGCACGAAAGCGUGGGGAGCAAACAGGAUUAGAUACCCCAGUAGUCC
RNAcentral lists this ribosomal RNA (450 nucleotides) under uncultured bacterium. RNAcentral's name for it is "partial 16S ribosomal RNA". It matches the Rfam family "Bacterial small subunit ribosomal RNA", at positions 354 to 796 of the family's 1533-position model. The record is from RNAcentral.